CCCCGCGCGAACGCCCGCUAGAGGCUAAGUAAAUCCUGCUAUCAGUGAAGUCCGAGUAAAUUCAAAUAAUUAAAAAACUUUCAACAACGGAUCUCUUGGUUCUGGCAUCGAUGAAGAACGCAGCGAAAUGCGAUAAGUAAUGUGAAUUGCAGAAUUCAGUGAAUCAUCGAAUCUUUGAACGCACAUUGCGCCCUCUGGUAUUCUGGGGGGCAUGCCUGUUCGAGCGUCAUUGCAAUCUCAAGCCUGGCUUGGUUAUGAGCAUCGCCCUCCCCGGCGAGCCCGAAAUAUAGUGGCUGUCCAGCGAGACCUCAAGCGAACAAGAUACCUAUCGCGCUUUCGAUCGUCUCCGCUGCGACGUGCCUUGCCCCUAAAUUUUCCACGAUUGACCUCGGAUCAGGUAGGGAUACCCGCUGAACUUAAGCAUAUCAAUAAGCGGAGGAAAAGAAACCAACAGGGAUUGCCUCAGUAACGGCGAGUGAAGCGGCAACAGCUCAAAUUUGAAAUCUGGCCCUCCCGGGGUCCGAGUUGUAAUUUGGAGAGGGUGUUUUGGGUGAGGCGCCGGCCUAAGUCCCUUGGAACAGGGCGUCCGAGAGGGUGAGAAUCCCGUAUGCGGCCGGUGACCGAUCCUGUGUAAAACCCCUUCGACGAGUCGAGUUGUUUGGGAAUGCAGCUCUAAAUGGG
Molecule: ribosomal RNA, 681 nt
Filed under: Pyxine sorediata
Lineage: Eukaryota; Fungi; Ascomycota; Lecanoromycetes; Caliciales; Caliciaceae
Description: eukaryotic LSU rRNA
Rfam family: Eukaryotic large subunit ribosomal RNA (bases 384-681)
Source: RNAcentral